RNAcentral lists this ribosomal RNA (460 nucleotides) under uncultured bacterium. Its description in RNAcentral is "partial 16S ribosomal RNA". It matches the Rfam family "Bacterial small subunit ribosomal RNA", at positions 338 to 795 of the family's 1533-position model. The record is from RNAcentral.
CCUACGGGAGGCAGCAGUGAGGAAUAUUGGUCAAUGGACGAGAGUCUGAACCAGCCAAGUAGCGUGAAUGAUGAAUGCCCUAUGGGUUGUAAACUUCUUUUAUAAAGGAAUAAAACGAGGCACGAAUGCCUUCUUGCAUGGACGUUAUGAAUAAGGAACGGCUAACUCCAUGCCAUCAGCCGCGGUAAUACGGAGGAUCCGAGCGUUGUCCGGAUUUAUUGGAUUUAAAGGGAGCGUAGAUGGGUUGUUAAGUCAGUUGUGAAAGUUUGCGGCUCAACCGUAAAAUUGCAAUUGAUACUGGCAGUCUUGAGGACAGUUGAGGUAGGCGGAAUUCGUGGUGUAGCGGUGAAAUGCUUAGAUAUCUCGAAGAACCCCGAUUGCGAAGGCAGCCUCCUAAACUGUGACUGACAUUGAUGCUCGAAAGUGUGGGGAUCAAACAGGAUUAGAUACCCGAGUAGUC